Molecule: ribosomal RNA, 459 nt
Filed under: uncultured bacterium
Lineage: Bacteria
Description: partial 16S ribosomal RNA
Rfam family: Bacterial small subunit ribosomal RNA
Source: RNAcentral
CCUACGGGAGGCAGCAGUGAGGAAUAUUGGUCAAUGGUCGGGAGACUGAACCAGCCAAGCCGCGUGAGGGAUGAAGGUACAGAGUAUCGUAAACCUCUUUUGUCAGGGAACAAAGGCGGGGACGUGUCCCCGGAUGAGUGUACCUGAAGAAAAAGCAUCGGCUAACUCCGUGCCAGCAGCCGCGGUAAUACGGAGGAUGCGAGCGUUAUCCGGAUUUAUUGGGUUUAAAGGGAGCGUAGGCGGGCGUUCAAGUCAGCUGUAAAAUCGCGCGGCUCAACCGCGCCCCGCAGUUGAAACUGGACGCCUUGAGUGCACGACAGGCAGGCGGAAUGCGUGGUGUAGCGGUGAAAUGCAUAGAUAGCACGAAGAACCCCGAUUGCGAAGGCAGCCUGCCGGGGUGCGACUGACGCUGAGGCUCGAAGGUGCGGGUAUCAAACAGGAUUAGAUACCCCAGUAGUC